GCGGGGGCCCCGGGUGGACACUUCAAACUCUUGCGUAACUUUGCAGUCUGAGUAAAUUUAAUUAAUAAAUUAAAACUUUCAACAACGGAUCUCUUGGUUCUGGCAUCGAUGAAGAACGCAGCGAAAUGCGAUAAGUAAUGUGAAUUGCAGAAUUCAGUGAAUCAUCGAAUCUUUGAACGCACAUUGCGCCCCCUGGUAUUCCGGGGGGCAUGCCUGUUCGAGCGUCAUUUCACCACUCAAGCCUCGCUUGGUAUUGGGCGACGCGGUCCGCCGCGCGCCUCAAAUCGACCGGCUGGGUCUUCCGUCCCCUCAGCGUUGUGGAAACUAUUCGCUAAAGGGUGCCGCGGGAGGUCACGCCGCAAAACAACCCCAUUUCUAAGGUUGACCUCGGAUCAGGUAGGGAUACCCGCUGAACUUAAGCAUAUCAUAG
This 430-nucleotide ribosomal RNA is filed under the name Cladosporium sphaerospermum. Its description in RNAcentral is "eukaryotic LSU rRNA". The stretch from base 74 to 227 matches the Rfam family "5.8S ribosomal RNA". Lineage: Eukaryota; Fungi; Ascomycota; Dothideomycetes; Cladosporiales; Cladosporiaceae. The record is from RNAcentral.